GAUGAACGCUGGCGGCGUGCCUAAUACAUGCAAGUCGAGCGAACAGACGAGGAGCUUGCUCCUUUGACGUUAGCGGCGGACGGGUGAGUAACACGUAGGUAACCUACCUAUAAGACUGGGAUAACUUCGGGAAACCGGAGCUAAUACCGGAUAAUAUUUCGAACCGCAUGGUUCGAUAGUGAAAGAUGGCUUUGCUAUCACUUAUAGAUGGACCUGCGCCGUAUUAGCUAGUUGGUAAGGUAACGGCUUACCAAGGCAACGAUACGUAGCCGACCUGAGAGGGUGAAGCGACCAACUGUGAACGGAAACCGGGUCCAGCCCCCAAGGGGAGGCAGAGGAGGGGAAUCUUCGGAAAGGGGGGAAGCCCUGAGGGACCAACCCGGGGGGAGUGUGAAGGGUUUUGGAAUCGAAAACCUCUUUUAUAAGGGAAAAAAAAAGGUGAAAGAAAUGGGCCCGGUUUGGAGGGUGCUAACCAAAAAAGCCACGGUAAACUACGU
Molecule: ribosomal RNA, 497 nt
Filed under: uncultured bacterium
Lineage: Bacteria
Description: partial 16S ribosomal RNA
Rfam family: Bacterial small subunit ribosomal RNA
Source: RNAcentral